Capra hircus (goat) is the source of this 335-nucleotide long non-coding RNA. RefSeq lists it as uncharacterized. The record is from RefSeq and is a predicted model, not a curated record. Lineage: Eukaryota; Metazoa; Chordata; Mammalia; Artiodactyla; Bovidae. The transcript is spliced from 3 exons.
AAAGAUCAGCACACAGUACUCUUGGACUACAUGCUACGCCUUUUCUUCCUGGGACCUCAUGGAUUUAAAUGGCUUAAGAUAACGGGAUGAGUUGUUGAAAAUUGUCCUUUCAAAAGACCUCACCGAAGGCCGAAGACAAGACCCAUUCAGGCCAAGUACUACUUGGGAAUACUCUCAGAGAUACUUGAAGAUAAAAAUAUAUCAUAUAAGGUAUACGUGUGCAUGCGCUAAUGCGUGGGGGCAGGGAUUGAUGGAGUUAACAAAAUGUGCCCAAUCUGCAUCUUAGACAGGAAAAAGAGAGACAUGGGUGAAUUCCAAUUUUCAGCAUGAAUCAA